CGUCUAUAUACGUAUAGCAUAUCAAUAAGCGGAGGAAAAGAAACUAACUAGGAUUCCCUCAGUAACGGCGAGUGAAGCGGGAAGAGCUCAAAUUUGAAAUCUUCAAGGUUCUACCUUGACGAAUUGUAGUUUAAAGAAGUGUUUUCUGUUGGAGUUUUGGUAAAAGUUCUUUGGAAUAGGACAUCAUAGAGGGUGAGAAUCCCGUAUUUGACCAUUAUCUCCAGCUUUGUGAUACACUUUCAACGAGUCGGAUUGUUUGGGAAUGAAGUCCAAAAUGGGUGGUAAAUUUCAUCUAAAGCUAAAUAUUGGCGAGAGACCGAUAGCGAACAAGUACCGUGAGGGAAAGAUGAAAAGAACUUUGAAAAGAGAGUUAAACAGUACGUGAAAUUGUCAAAAGGGAAGCGUUUGACACCAGUGUUGUUUUCUCGAAAAUCAAUUAAAAAAGACUGGAUUUUGUGUUGUAUUGACUUUAUCAGCUUUCUGCACUCUUUUCUUGUCUUUUUUAAUGCACUUUUCGUUUAACAAGUCAACAUCAAUUUCUUUUGUUGUAAAAGAGUCAUUGGAAGGUGGCUUUCUUUUCGGAGAAAGUGUUUAUAGCCUUUGGCCUCUGCAAUCGGAGAGAUUGAGGUCUGCAGCGUAGAUCCUUCGGGGUUAGAUACAUUUGUGCUAAGUUAUAGCUUUUCAUAGACAACUUGUUGACUAUGAUUAGUCAUGUCGCUUACUCGCAUAUGUGCUAUUUUACCUACGCUUAGGAUGUUGACUGAUAUGUAGUCGUA
RNAcentral lists this ribosomal RNA (776 nucleotides) under uncultured Neocallimastigales. RNAcentral describes it as "partial large subunit ribosomal RNA". It matches the Rfam family "Eukaryotic large subunit ribosomal RNA", at positions 26 to 644 of the family's 3401-position model. Lineage: Eukaryota; Fungi; Neocallimastigomycota; Neocallimastigomycetes; Neocallimastigales. The record is from RNAcentral.